Pelodiscus sinensis (Chinese soft-shelled turtle) is the source of this 508-nucleotide non-coding RNA. The record is from RefSeq and is a predicted model, not a curated record. NCBI's taxonomy places the organism in Eukaryota, Metazoa, Chordata, Testudines, Trionychidae.
GAUAACCUAUUUGCUGCCUGGGGAAAUGCAGUGGACAUAAUGGAUGUGGAUUUCAGCUAGGCUUUUGGCAAAGUCCCACAUGACCCGACACGUAUGAGUUCAUUCAGCAGACUGAAGACUCAAAUGAAGAGCUGAUUGAAAUAGGGUUGAAAGUGACUCAGUUCUUCACUCAGAUCAUUGUCUUUGUAGACCUGCAUUUCCUUUUCAAGAUUUGGCAGUCCCUUCCUUAAAGAUAGAAGAUCAAUAAACUCAAGAUAAGGUGGUGCAAUAAUACUGUGAGGCAUCUCCUGUUUGUCUGGAAGAAGAUAUUACCACCAAAGGUGCUGCAUCUCUUAAACCUAGUCCACUAAGAUCAAACAAUCACCCUAGCCUUCUUAAAGAAAAGUUGAGGUCGACUGGAAAAACACCACUGAUAAACCCAGGAUUUCUGCACUAAAGACAGCGUUUGUCAGUGUACUGGACUUGAGAGAGAGAUCAGUUCUUGAUAUCUGCCCACAAUCAACAGGAU